RNAcentral lists this ribosomal RNA (287 nucleotides) under uncultured bacterium. Its description in RNAcentral is "partial 16S ribosomal RNA". It matches the Rfam family "Bacterial small subunit ribosomal RNA", at positions 471 to 757 of the family's 1533-position model. The record is from RNAcentral.
GACGUUACCGACAGAAUAAGCACCGGCUAACUUCGUGCCAGCAGCCGCGGUAAUACGAAGGGUGCAAGCGUUAAUCGGAAUUACUGGGCGUAAAGCGCGCGUAGGUGGUUCAGUAAGUUGGAAGAGAAAUCCCCGGGCUCAACCUGGGAACUGCUUUCAAAACUGCUGAGCUAGAGUACGGUAGAGGGUAGUGGAAUUUCCUGUGUAGCGGUGAAAUGCGUAGAGAUCUGGAGGAAUACCGAUGGCGAAGGCAGCCAUCUGGCCUAAUACUGACACUGAGGUGCGAA